This is a long non-coding RNA of Myotis myotis, 742 nucleotides long. RefSeq lists it as uncharacterized. NCBI's taxonomy places the organism in Eukaryota, Metazoa, Chordata, Mammalia, Chiroptera, Vespertilionidae. The transcript has 3 exons. The record is from RefSeq and is a predicted model, not a curated record.
GGAGCCUCGCAAUGUCCAUCGACCCGAGGUAAGUGGCGGCACCGGAAGACGGACUGGGGAAAAGCGAAUGACUCCGCGCAAAUCCCAGGGAUUCAAAGGCGGGGACAGCUCCGUUUGACUUUUUGCGACCGGUGGUCGAACCCGUGUGUCAGUUUCUUGGGAAACUCGAAUUGUUAUUCUUCAGGUCUGUAGCUAAACGGAGAAGACACCCCUUUGAGCCUCGCCGACCUCUCCUCUAAGCGUUCUUCCAUGCCGCUGGGUUCGAAAUUCCGAGCUUUAAUAUAAUAGAGUGCCCAGGGGAUGGAAAAGAAUGAGGCUGGAAUUGCUGGUCUACUGAACCGGACGAGGUGAAAGGUUCGUGACUACGGGCUCCAUUAUCUCAAUAAUCAAGGAUUUCCCAGAUACCACAUUCAACCAGAAAAGCCUCUCGAGGGCUCUCCAGCACCAGAUCACUUACGUCUACCUCCGUUAAGACUUAUCCCUCCUAAAAAUCAACUUAUUCUUCUUUGCCAAGAGUACACUUCAGUUUCCUCAAAGUAACUUCUGGGCCAUCAGUUUGUCCAACUAAACCUAAUGUAUUAUUCUGGGAAGACCUAUCCUGCUCUGCUGUUUCCUUCAGAUGAGCACUAAGGCAUCACAGUGUUAAGAACCAUCCACAGUUUAUUGACUGUUUGAAGAAUUCGCCGCGGAACCCCUGCAUUCAACAGCUGGUUCAUAUUGGAUGUUAAUACUUCUGCAUAUG